This 497-nucleotide ribosomal RNA is filed under the name uncultured bacterium. RNAcentral's name for it is "partial 16S ribosomal RNA". It matches the Rfam family "Bacterial small subunit ribosomal RNA", at positions 899 to 1397 of the family's 1533-position model. The record is from RNAcentral.
ACUCAAAGGAAUAGACGGGGGCCCGCACAAGCGGUGGAUGAUGUGGAUUAAUUCGAUGCAACGCGAAAAACCUUACCUAGCCUUGACAUGUACGGAACCUUUUAGAGAUAGAGGGGUGCCUUCGGGAGCCGUAACACAGGUGCUGCAUGGCUGUCGUCAGCUCGUGUCGUGAGAUGUUGGGUUAAGUCCCGCAACGAGCGCAACCCUUGCCACUAGUUGCUACCAUUUAGUUGAGCACUUUAGUGGGACUGCCGGUGACAAACCGGAGGAAGGUGGGGAUGACGUCAAGUCCUCAUGGCCCUUAUGGCUAGGGCUUCACACGUCAUACAAUGGUCGGUACAGAGGGUUGCGAAGCCGCGAGGUGGAGCCAAUCCCAUAAAACCGAUCGUAGUCCGGAUUGCACUCUGCAACUCGAGUGCAUGAAGUCGGAAUCGCUAGUAAUCGCGGAUCAGCAUGUCGCGGUGAAUACGUUCCCGGGCCUUGCACACACCGCCCGU